GUGCUCGCUUCGGCAGUACAUAUACUAAACUUGGAAUGAUACAGAGAAGAUUAGCAUGGCCCCUGCACAAGGAUGACCCAACUCCCUACAGAGAAAGUAAUCAUUAUG
Small nuclear RNA from Heterocephalus glaber (naked mole-rat), 108 nucleotides. NCBI's taxonomy places the organism in Eukaryota, Metazoa, Chordata, Mammalia, Rodentia, Bathyergidae. The record is from Ensembl.